CCUACGGGUGGCAGCAGUGGGGAAUAUUGCACAAUGGGGGAAACCCUGAUGCAGCGACGCCGCGUGAGUGAAGAAGUAUUUCGGUAUGUAAAGCUCUAUCAGCAGGGAAGAAAAUGACGGUACCUGCCUAAGAAUCCCCGGCUAACUACGUGCCAGCAGCCGCGGUAAGACGUAGGGGGCAAGCGUGAUCAGGAUUUACUGGGUGGAAAGGGAGCGUAGACGGCAGCGCAAGUCUGAAGUGAAAUCACAUGGCUUAACCAUGGAACUGCUUUGGAAACUGUGCAGCUGGAGUACUGGAGAGGCAGACGGAAUUCCUAGUGUAGCGGUGAAAUGCGUAGAUAUUAGGAGGAACACCAGUGGCGAAGGCGGUCUGCUGGACAGCAACUGACGCUGAGGCGCGAAAGCGUGGGGAGCAAACAGGAUUAGAUACCCGUGUAGUC
Molecule: ribosomal RNA, 440 nt
Filed under: uncultured bacterium
Lineage: Bacteria
Description: partial 16S ribosomal RNA
Rfam family: Bacterial small subunit ribosomal RNA
Source: RNAcentral